GUCCUUAUGCAAGGGAAAUACGCAUAUCAGUGAGGAUUCGUCCGAGAUUGUGUUAUUUUGCUGAUUUAAAAAGAAAAAAUAGUAACCAGAUUAUUAAAAUUUUUUUUUAAAA
Small nuclear RNA from Saccharomycodes ludwigii, 112 nucleotides. The record is from RefSeq and is a predicted model, not a curated record. NCBI's taxonomy places the organism in Eukaryota, Fungi, Ascomycota, Saccharomycetes, Saccharomycodales, Saccharomycodaceae.